This is a small nucleolar RNA of Psammomys obesus (fat sand rat), 129 nucleotides long. RefSeq annotates it as small nucleolar RNA SNORA17. Lineage: Eukaryota; Metazoa; Chordata; Mammalia; Rodentia; Muridae. The transcript has a single exon. The record is from RefSeq and is a predicted model, not a curated record.
ACUGCCGGUAGAUGCCUUACAUGUAUUCUGCUGUGUCGCAUGUGUGUCAGUCAGUGGCAAAGAGGAGAGAGGCUGUUUAUGGUCAGUGUUCUGACCUGUAAACAUUUGAAUCAUUAGUAGCCUAAACUU